Molecule: microRNA precursor, 66 nt
Filed under: Mustela putorius furo (domestic ferret)
Lineage: Eukaryota; Metazoa; Chordata; Mammalia; Carnivora; Mustelidae
Description: miRNA (ENSMPUG00000020460.1)
Source: RNAcentral
UGCCCUAAGCCCUGGGCUUUCAGGAUGGAGGGCAGAGUCCCUGUCCUCCAGGAGCUCACUGUGUGG